UACGUAGGGUGCAAGCGUUGUCCGGAAUUACUGGGCGUAAAGUGUGCGCAGGCGGCCGCGCAAGUCGAGUGUGAAAGCCCCGGGCUUAACUUGGGAAUUGCGCUCGAAACUACGUGGCUGGAGUGUGGCAGAGGAAGGUGGAAUUCCAGGUGUAGCGGUGAAGUGCGUAGAGAUCUGGAGGAACACCGAUGGCGAAGGCAGCCUUCUGGGCCAACACUGACGCUCAUGCACGAAAGCGUGGGGAGCAAACAGG
This 253-nucleotide ribosomal RNA is filed under the name uncultured bacterium. Its description in RNAcentral is "partial 16S ribosomal RNA". It matches the Rfam family "Bacterial small subunit ribosomal RNA", at positions 524 to 776 of the family's 1533-position model. The record is from RNAcentral.